Molecule: RNA transcript, 986 nt
Organism: Papaver somniferum (opium poppy)
Lineage: Eukaryota; Viridiplantae; Streptophyta; Magnoliopsida; Ranunculales; Papaveraceae
Exons: 2
Source: RefSeq, a predicted model, not a curated record
GGGAGAGAAAAGGAGUGACAAAACACGCAGAAACCCUGCCCCACCUUCGAACCCCAAAUUCCAGUGUAUCUCUCAAUCUAUCGCAUCGUAUGUGUGUCCCCAUAAAUUCUGCACUUCUCUCUCUUUCUCUCUAAAACUCAGUCUCGGCGCGUGUAUAUCUUGCUUGAGGAAUUAAAUUCUUUCUCCUUUUCUUUUUAAGGAAGGAUAAAUAAAUCAGAGAAGAGCUGAGGAGGGAGGACUCAAAGUACGAUAAAACCUCGAAACAUAAUUCGCUGAUCUUUCUUCUCUACCACCUCCUUCUUCUACUUUUCCUUGGCCCGGCGUAGGAGGUGAGACUUAAAAAUAUGGUUCUUGAAAGUAUAACAUCUCCUCAUCGGAGGGCCCAAACUCCGUUUACUUCAACUUCUGUCAAAAAAACAUUCCCAGCUCGAGACGAAUUGGGUAACUGCACAACUCUUUUUCAACGCCACCGUUUCCUUCUUACAAUGCUGGCACUCCUAGGUUUCCUUUGUACCAUUUAUCUCUAUUUUGCCGUUACUCUGGGAGCCAGUGGUGAGAUGUGUUCAGAAUUGACUGGUACAGAGAAGGCAUUAUGUCGAUUAAUGCAAGCUAAAGCUUCUGUAGCCAAAGGAAAAUUGAAGUUUUUCUAGGUGAAGAGAGAAGUUACUAAUAGAAAAGAAGAAAAGAAAAAGAGGUCAUCCUUUUGCCUCGAAGUAUUACACUAAUGUUACCAUUAAGUUAUUACUUUGGGUUGUCAAAGUAUUAGAUGCCCUUCUUCUUCUUCAAUUCAUUCAUACAUCAGAUAUUAACUUAGCUUUCUUCUUUUACUCAACUUUUCCUGGCGUUUUCUUUACUGUUUGAUUGGUAUGGAAAGUAAAAAAUUGUUGUCUAAAGAUGAUCAUUUCGUCUUAUCUGUGUAGUAAAGUUGUAAAAUAUUUUGUUAAUCUUUUUUUCCUUUUCUGUUUCUGUGUAGAACUUAGUUGAUU